Molecule: ribosomal RNA, 467 nt
Filed under: uncultured bacterium
Lineage: Bacteria
Description: partial 16S ribosomal RNA
Rfam family: Bacterial small subunit ribosomal RNA
Source: RNAcentral
GACGAACGCUGGCGGCGUGCUUAACACAUGCAAGUCGAACGGUAAGGCCCUUUUUGGGGGGUACUAGUGUGGCGAAGGGGUGUGUAACAUGUGUGUAACCUGCACUUGAUUGUGGGAUAACUUCGGGACUCUGGGGCUAAUACGGGAUAGGAUCUUGUGGUGUAUGGUGGGGGUUGGAGAGUUUCGGCGGUUGGGGGUGGACUCGCGGCUUAUCAGCUUGGUGGUGGGGUAGUGGCGUACCAAGGCUGUGACGGGUAGCCGGCCUGAGAGGGUGACCGGCCACAUUGGGACUGAGAUACGGCCCAGACUCCUACGGGAGGCAGCAGUGGGGAAUAUUGCACAAUGGGUGGAAGCCUGAUGCAGCAACGCCGCGUGCGGGAUGACGGCCUUCGGGUUGUAAACCGCUUUCGCUCGUGACGAAGCUUUGUGUGACGGUAGUUGGUAAAGAAGCACCGGCUAACUACGUG